AUUGUUUCGUAAACUUUACUUUGAGUAAUCGAGUAGCUUCGGGAUACACUAGGAAUUUUCCCAUAUUCAUCAGAUCAGCUAUUCCCAGAGCCUUACCAUUAUAAAGGGAAUUUCUGCAAAUCCAACAGAUCAGCUUUUUCCAGAGUGUUCAUUCUCUCCAAAAAGUUUCUGCGUACGAAAGUGCAGCGGAGCACAUAGCUAGGGCCCAGGACAGUACUGCCACUACUGCUGCAAGGUCCAACCUAAAAGGAAUGUUAGGAAGAGAAGUGCGAGGUUCUACUAGUACUCCAGUGGUAUUCUCUCAACUUUAAUCCUUGUCUUUUGUUUAUUGCCCAACGUUGACAUUGCCAUUGCCACAUAUGCCGUCUUUAAAGAAGUUACACGUUUGGAGCUGCCCAAACAUGGCAUGGGCUUCAAUCUCCAAUCUCACUAGUCUUAACCCCCUUACAAUUACGAGGAUUGAAGGAUUGAGUUGUUUUCCAGAAGAGAUGCUACAAAAUCUUAAUCUUCUUGAAUCCCUAAAUAUUAGGGGUACAAGUGAUCUACGAGCCUUACCCAGAAGCUUGGCCAGCCUCACGGCAUUGAAGGAGUUGUCCAUCUGGGAAUGUCUUGUGCUCAAGUCUUUGCCAGAAGAAGGAUUGCGAGGCCUUGUUUCUUUGCAGGAACUCCUUUUGCACCAUUGCUAUAAUUUCGUGAGUCUCUCACUGGGAACUAAAGCCCUCAAAUCCCUGACUCAUCUACACGUCACGGGGUCACACGCGAUAGCUUUGCCAGAGGAAGUCAAACAUUUGCCUGCACUACAAAAACUGUUGCUGUGGUAUUUUCCCAAUCUAACUUUAUUGCCAGACUGGUUUGGAGACCACCUCACUUCUCUUCAACACUUGACACUACUCAAAUGUCCGAAGCUUGAAACACUUGCAUCCAGCAUUCAAAUGAUGACAACACUCCAAAAUUUGACUAUAGAUACGUGCGAUCUACUACUCCCACGGUGUGAAAUUGGAGGAGAGGAAUGGCACAAAAUUAAGCACAUCCCGAAUCUGAGAAUUUGGUAAUACAAUUACAUAUGGGUGGGU
Molecule: long non-coding RNA, 1073 nt
Organism: Coffea eugenioides
Lineage: Eukaryota; Viridiplantae; Streptophyta; Magnoliopsida; Gentianales; Rubiaceae
Exons: 3
Source: RefSeq, a predicted model, not a curated record